Long non-coding RNA from Clarias gariepinus (North African catfish), 911 nucleotides. RefSeq lists it as uncharacterized. The transcript has 4 exons. The record is from RefSeq and is a predicted model, not a curated record. Lineage: Eukaryota; Metazoa; Chordata; Actinopteri; Siluriformes; Clariidae.
UGUGUGUGCAGUAAUCUGUGGGAAACGAGCAAUAUUGGCAUGUUUUAUAGACUAAUUUAAUGUAUUUGACUACAGUAUUAUGUACAUAUUUUAAAUGUUCGCUGUAUCUGGAUGAAUAUGGUGUGAGAAAUCCCCGCUCAGCUUCAGGUUUACCAGGUGGAUGAGGCAGAGAGCUUGAAAAGGUAGAAUGCAAAGGAAUCUAUAAUCUCAUGUAUGUGGAUGUAUACGGUAAUCUGUGAAACUCUCCAGGACUCCUCACAGCUAGCAGUGAGACGUGAGGGCUGUGAGGUGUGAAGGCCUUUCCUAUGUUAAUGACUAGCAGGAAGAGGCGCUGUCCUUCUUCUCAUAGCCGGGUGGGGGGAUUAGCCAUGGGCAUUGCGGUAAAUGUAACAACAAUGUAGGUGUUCAGCAUAGACACCAGAUAGAUAAAAGUUUGUCACGUCCGAAUUAGACAAUGUUGUUUACAAAUGUAUGUAUUAAAGCGGUUUUAAUUCAACGCUACAGAAAGCUGUAAGGAGCCUCCAGAAUUCAGAAAACAACCCACAUAAAUACGAUCCACAAACUGGAAUAAGUUUACUUCAUGAUCAGGCAGUGAUGAUCCACUGGAGGAAUUAAAGAUGACUUUUACAGAUGCAGACCCUGAGUGUAUAAAGGGAAAUACUCGGCCAGGAAAGUCUCAGCUAAGAGGCUCCAUUAAGACAGGGGCUAAAAACUGACAAAGAUGAUUGCUGGAGUCCAUGUGUAGAGUCGUUCAAACAGAUGCAGAGAGAGAACUGUGGCAGACUGCAAUGCUGGAUGUGUAUGAUGAGAACUGAUGUCCGAUGAGGAGGAUGCCACUGCGUGCCGUGCCGUCAGCGUGUAAUAUCUAAUGGGACCGAGCUAGAAGGACAUUUAUUUUGGACAUCUAACAA